Molecule: long non-coding RNA, 10248 nt
Filed under: Gossypium raimondii (Peruvian cotton)
Lineage: Eukaryota; Viridiplantae; Streptophyta; Magnoliopsida; Malvales; Malvaceae
Description: long non-coding RNA (GRAI_LNC001442)
Source: RNAcentral
UUUAGCUACUUAUUUGACAUUUAAGUGUUGAAAAAUAUAGACAUCACAUAUAUAAUAAUGACAAUUACAUGUUAUUAUUUAUUAUUGUAAGAGCCCAUUUUUGCCUGGGCCCAUACCAGUAAAACAGACCCAAAUAACAAAAAAAUAAAUAUAAAAAAACCAAAUAAAAAUAAAAUAACAGUCUAUUAUAACAAAAUUUGGCCCAAUAAACAACUCAGCCCAAUCCUAAAGCUAAUACCCUAACCCAAUUUACACGGCCCGAUUCAAGUUGAAACCCUAGCCUUCAACUGUUUCUAGCUUCAGCCGCUGCCUUCCCUCAGCCUCACGUGCCCCACGAGCCACCCCUCCGAGCCACGUCACCCCAGCCACGCGCCUCCGUACACCGUACCUGCAAAGAGAACGGAGACAACACAGCACACAAAAGAACAAAAAAGGAAGAAAAGAAAGGAGAAUAAUAGCAAAAAAGAAAAAAGAACAGAAAAUAGGACGAUGUAUUUUUUCUUUGAUUUUUAUUUUCGGCUUUAAAAAGCCAUAAAACAGAAUUUGUAAGGGGGGAACAUUUUUUACAGAUCAGAAAUAAAAAAGGAAAACAAAGGUUGCCUUCUGGUUUUCUCCGAUUUAUUCAUUUUAUUUCUUUUAUUUUUCUUUUUAUUUUUAUUUUUUACGAAUCAAUUCUUCAAAAAAAAAAGGAAAAAGAAAAGCUUCUAAGGAGAAAGAGGGGCUUACCGGAGAUACCUCGCGAUCGCACCGUCGGUGGGUGGGUCUCCGUCGUUGGCCUAGAUCCGAAAGGGGGAUUGUGAGCCCCUGUCUCGGCGCUCAUGGGGGUUCAAAGACCCAACUUUCAAAUCACCUGGAGGCCGGGCUUUUAAAAACCUCUGGUUGCUCUUCGUUGGCCGCCGAUUCGGUGGCGCUGUGGCGAGUGAACGAACGCCGGCGGGAGCCCGACCGUCGAAAAACGCGGGGAGCCUUCAGAGAGCCUUCCCAUUUUUUGAAAAAGAAGAAAAAAUGAAAUUUCAGGAAAAAUUUAAUUUAAAUAAUAUAAACUAAACGGCGCCGUUUUAGCCCCCCAUGACCCGCGCGCAACCCGACCCGCUCCAGGGGGGAUCCGCGCGUUUUCAUGAAGUGGGAUAUUUUCGUCCUUCGUCCCUCCUCGUUAUAGAUUUGUUUUAAUUUAGUAAUUUUGCUUCUUUAUUUAUUUUUUAAUUUGGUCCCGAAAUUUUAUUUUGUUUUCAAUCAGGUCCCUGGCUCACUGACACGCCGGAAAGUGGACACGUGUCCAGGAAUUGGUUUAUUUCCCCUUUUGGUCCUUUUUAUUUCUGCGCGUUUCCAGUUUAAUCCUCUGUUCACUUUUAUAAUUUUAUCCGUUUAAUUUCGUCCUAGUUUUGAUUUAGUCCCUAAAUCAGUUUAGCUCAUUUAUUUAUUUCAACCUUUUUUUAUAUAUUAUUAUGUAUAUAUUAUCAUUCGUAUUGUUAUUAAAAUCUUCAUUUCACAUGUAUUAUUUAUUUAAAAUUUAUAUAUGUAAUUUAAUUUACUUCUUAUAUAAUAUUUACUUUAAAAUUUAUUUAGAUACUAUUAUUUUAUGUAGUUUUUUAAAAAACUCUAUUUUUUGAUUUAUUUCAAAUUCUCAUGUCUGUGUAUAUUAUUAUUUUUAUAACUUCUCGAUUACAAUUUCCUUUCUCCCAUGCUAAUCAUCUUUUCAAUUGUUUUAGGACUUGUGUAUUUAUUUGUGUUAAUUUGGUUAUUUUUUAAAUUAAUUUUUAAUUCAUUAGUUCUCAAUUGUUAGUGCUAGAAUUUACAUAAUGUGUGACAUAUGUUUUUAUUAUUACACAUUUUUGUGUUGCUUAUUUGUAUUUAUUAGUUCUUUAUCGCUCAUUAGCAUACAUUUUAGCUUAUGAAUUUUUUUUCUUUUGCGAUAUACAUUGUCAUCCCAUUGCGUUUUAUUCAUCAAAAAGAUUGUAUUUCUUUUAAAUAUUAAAAUCAUUUUAUUCAAAAGCUUUCAAGAUAAACGCGAUACUCGAAAUUUGGAAUCCUCGAGAGAAUCGAGCCCUAACGUAUUGGGUUCCAAUCUUCCUCGAUGAAUCUAAAUAAUCGAAAAUUCCCUUUUAAUUAAAACAUAAAUAAAAAGCUCAUUCUCAAGAAUUCGAUAUGUGGUGUCCUAACGCAUUGGAUAUGACAUAUUGUUCUCUCGAGACGAGGAUUUUUCUAAUAAAUGAAAAUAAAGACAAUAUUCGAUAUUUAGGAAUUUUGUGAAAUCGAGCCCUAACUUACUGGGUUUUGAUUUUCUCAUUUGACCCAAAUAGUCGGAUAUCCUUCUCAAAUGCAUAGAUUUUAAAAGUCAAAAAAAUAAACUUAAUUUUGAGGAUUUAAAAUGUUGCACUCUAACUUACCGAGUGUGACGAUUUAUUUCUUCGAAAUAAAUGAAUCUCAUCGUUCAAAUCAUUUUAUUCAAAAUAAAAGGAUCGUAUUUUAAAAUCUUUUCAAAAUUUCGACAUUAAGACAUUAAACAAUCGAUUCGGUACCAAUUUUGGGCGUUACGAGGAUGCUAACCCUUCCUCGUGCGUAACCGACUCCCGAACCUAUUUUUUCUCAAAAUUCGCAGACCUAAAAUUUAUUUUUCAGGGUGAUCCGAUCACACCUUCAAUAAAGGUCGGUGGCGACUCCAAUUUUCAUUUUUAAAGUCGACUACCAAAUUUUUUUUAUUUUUCAAAAAAAAAUGGUUAUGACAGCUUGGCGACUCCACUGGGUAACGCAUUUAGAGAGUCAAGCCGUAAAAUUGAUUUUUUUCUCUCUUAUUGUCGAAAACUAAAAAUUUGAUUUGAAAAAUUACGAUAUUUUCUUUGCGCUUGUUUGCAUGAUUAUUGUAAAUUGAGUUGUAUAUUUUGGCAUCAUAUUGCAUAAGACUGUUUAGUCUUGUCCUUUUAAGUGGGAGUGAGAAGCUACUCCUUCGUGAGGUUUUCACCUCCGUGCAGGAUAGUGAAUCACUUUCGGGAUACAUCCGUACCUAUAUCUUCGUGAGAUUUUCAUCUCCGUGCAACCAUAGGGAAAUGUAUUCCCCUGAACCGAACUCGGUCUGUAUGAGCCUAUAAUGGGUGAAGAUCGAGGAAUCUGCUGGUUUUGGUACCUUGACUUUAGAACCAAACCUCAUAUAGUGGUUUAGGAACUUAACCUAGGUAGAGCCACUCCAAAUCCCUAGUGGUUACCUGAUUAGGUACUUUCUAUUUUCCUUGUUUACUUCUGUUUUGUACUAACCCCUUUUGUUGUGUUUUGAUUGUGAUUGCAUUGCAUUUGCAUCUUAGGAAGGAGAUAUUGAUUCAGUCUCAAUUACUAAAUUAGAAAGUUUGUCAUGGAAUACAAAUUCCUUGAUAAAGUGGAAAACACUACGGUUGCCUCAAUAAAUUCUGAGAAACACAAGAAGAUCGAUGGAAGAGUUCGUGACCUUGCUUCGUGGCCUGAGGAUUCAAGAUGAUUUUCUAAGAGCCUUCAACGUUUCAAAGAAGCUGAAGAUGGGCAGAUGAUGGAUCGCGACCAAGAUCAAGAAAAGAAGCUAGUAGUGGCAUCUAUUGGAAAUUGGUGAGAUUAUCUCAAACAUGCGCAUGAAGAAAAGAUCGAUGGUCUCUUGGAAUAUAAGGGCGAAGCCGUACAUGCCUCUGCUUUAUGUAAAGGAAUUUGCUUUCUAGAACAGUUUCCUAAAUGUAAUUGAAUCAGAAUCAACGUCUCUUUAGGCAUGCAUUUCAUACAUCUGUAUCGUAUGCAUUAAAAUCCAUUGAAAGAGUCUAAACGAGUAAAUUUGUUUCAGCUAAUCUGGAAAACCAACUAACCAAACAUCCUUACGGUACUCGUUGCAAAACUAAGGAAAUGGAUCAAAGAUUAGAGAAAUUGGAGCAAAUGCAAAAGGAUAUGCAAGAUCAGCUACAGAAACAAAUGAAGGAGCAGUUGGAAAAAAUUCAAUAGGACAUGACAGAAAGGAUGCGGGAGUCUCAAAUGGACAUGAUGACUGAGCUGACGCAAUUACUAAAAGGAAUAAAUAAGGGAAGGGUCCUAUGGUUAAUGAUGAAGGAGAAGACAAGGAUAGACCUAUCUAUUCUCUAGGCUUUACGCCUCUGCAUGCGCAGAUUCAGACCGAGGCUGGAUCAGGUUCUAAUCCUAGAGAUAACCCAGUGAAUCUUGUUAUUCCUGAUUUCGAUGAAAUGGCUGAAAAAGAGAAGGCAAACGUCGAACUGUCAAAACAAUGGGAGGAUAGGUGUAAAUGGUUGGAGGAAAAAUUCAAAGCCUUGGAAAGCGCCGAUAGUCACCAUGGAAUUGAUGCGAAAGAUCUGAGCUUGGUUCUAGACUUAGUACUCCCUCACAAGUUUAAGAUGCCUAUAGUGGGACUAGCUACCCAGAAGCCCAUAUCACCAUGUUCUAUAGGAGAAUGACUGGGUAUACUAACAGUGAUCAGCUAUUAAUACAUUGUUUUCAGGAUAGCCUCAUUGGAGCUGCGUCGAAAUGGUACAAUCAAUUAAGCCGUACCGAGAUUGGUUCAUGGAGGAACCUAGCAUAGGCAUUCAUGAAACAAUACAGUCAUGUGACGGAUGUGGUUCCCGAUAGAAUCACUUUACAAAAUUUGGAAAAGAAAUCGAAUGAAAGCUUUAGACAGUAUACACAGAGGUGGAGGGAGGUUGCAGUCUAAGUUCAGCCACCCCUCUUGGAGAAAGAGACGACAAUGCUCUUCAUCAAUACACUGAAGACUCCGUUCAUUACGCAUAUGUUGGGAAGCGCAACAAAAAGCUUUUCUAACAUAGUUAUGAAUGGUGAAGUGAUUGAGAAUGUUAUAAGAGCCGGAAAAAUUGAGGCGGAAGAGGGUGAUAAGAGAUCAACCUCAAGGAGAAGAGAAAAUAAGGUGAACAACACAGGUUACUCAAGGUCAGCAAGUCAUCCAGGUAAAGGGGUCGCUAUUCAACAAGGUUCAUCAAGACAAGAACCUUAUGUGAAACAAGGCACUGAGAACCUCCAGUUCACGCCAAUUCUGAUGUCGUAUAAGGAGCUGUAUCAAAGCUUAUUCAACAUGCACAUUGUUGCCCCUCUCUACAUGAAACCUCCACAGCCUCCGUACCCCAAAUGGCACGAUGUGAAUGCAUAAUGCGAAUAUCAUGCGGGAUAUACGGGACAUUCCAUAGAAAAUUGCAUUGCCUUUAAAAAACUGAUUGAAAGGCUUAUCAGUAUGGGCGUCGUUAAAUUUGAUGAUUCCUCCAGUGCGGAAAAUCCAUUACCUAAUCAUAAUUGAUAAGUGAAGUGAAUGCAAUGCACAAGCAACUGAAGAAGGGACCUUGUUAGAUAUCUGCCCUUAUAAACGUGAAAGUGUUUUAAGCAAUUCGACUGCAGAAGAAAGCCCUGUAGUUUUUAGAACUUAUUUAGAGUAAUGUUCAGAACAUUUUGUUGUUUUUAGCCUAAAAAUGAUAGAAAUUUCCUUUGCAAAAUAGGCUCAUGUCUGAACGUUAUUAUUCUAUUGAAAUACAUCUUUGUGAUCACUUUUGAGCCAAUGUUCUUUCGUUCCUUUUGAAUAAUUAUUUUUUGAUUAUUUCAUUCUUUUGGAUUUUCUUCCACAUCAUUCAUUCAUUCAUAAUCAUAUUGUAUAAAUAGUUGUUCAUGAAUUUAUACAUUCUUUUGUAUAUUCUUGGUACUUAUUAUGGGCCCCCAGAUAUCAAUUACGUGAAUGACUCUGCUACAAACCAAGAUUUUCCUUUUGAGCGGGGCAUGUGUUUAGAGGAAUCUCAUGACUUUGAAAAUGACAAAGAUUGUAGCUUAUCUCCGGACUUGUUGAGGAUGGUUGAACAAGAGGAUAGAUAGAUCCUACCUCACAAGGAAUCAUCAGAAAUUGUGAGCUUGGUGAAGAUUAGAAUUGACCUGACCGCAAAGAUGAAGCAAGACCUUGUUCAAAGAUGUCUUUGUAGGAUCAUACCAGGAUAUGCCUAGGAUAAACGCUAAUAAAGAAAUCUGUACAACAGCGCGAUGUCAAAAUUUACAGUAUGAACGAUGUAAUUCUUUGCCGGGGCAAUGCCUUUCUCGUUGAGUCAGCAUAGCUUUGCCCAUUUGAAGCCGGGUUUCUAUCCCUUCAAGAUGUUUUCUGUCGUAGUUGCACCCCAAAAGGCUCUAUGAAAGAAAUGAAGGUUUUUCGCAUACAAGAUGAAAGUGAGAAAUCUUAUCUAUAAAAACAUUGAUUCUGAUCGAAAGGGUUCAGAUUCAAAAAAAAAUGAGAGAGAAAAAAAUCAAAAUCAAAAUCAAAACAAAAAAAUAAAAAAUAAAAAAAUCAAAGUCAAAAGCAAAAAAGAGAAAUCAAUUAAAGUCAAAAUAAAAAAUAUGAAAAAGAGAAAAAAGAAAAGAAAAGGAGAGGCCAAGGCGAAAACCUGUAAAAGGCGCUUUGUGACCAAAUGAGGUUUUGAGUUGAAAACCCAAAAAGGGCGACUCAAAUUUUGAGCAAAAUGGGGCAUGGCCGUCAUCAUCAUCGAAGGUUUCCCAUGAGAAUUGCUUCAUUUUUUAGAUCAUCAAAGGGAUAGAGGUUGCUUCAUGCGUCAAAGUCAUCAUAUGCAGAUAUAGAAUUCUAGAGAAAAUUAUAUUGGAGAAUGCAUUGAGCUUAAACAAUAGUACGAUAGCUGAGGUCUGAAAUCAACUCAGAAGCAGACACCACGAUUCGUCACCGAAUUGACUAGAGAUGAACAUCAAGAAAAUUGAAAAAUGACUGAGACUUGUAAAAUUACCAUUUGCCCUUCUUGCUUGCCGAACAUCUAUCAAGAUUUCUACCAGAGCAACGCUGUUCUCUUUGGCUUAUGGGGAUGAGGUAGUUUUACCCAUUGAAAUCCCCUCCCUCCGGGUAUUAGAGUUGGAAGGAUCCAAUCGCGAUGUGAUUAGUUGGACCUAGGAAAAGGGGUUAAAAUCUAUUCAUUAGGGUCGGAUGUACCAGAUGAUACGAGCUCAUAAUAAACAGGGUCAUCUCAGAGAAUUCCACGAAAGGGUGGAUGCCGAAAAAGUCCAUUCCUCAACAAAAGGAUUCUAGAAGGAAAUGAAUGCUAAGCCGGGGAUGUCCCUGUGCUGUAAAGAAGACUUUUUCAGAGGAGCAUUGAUCUUGAGCGAGACCGCCGAUCCUAUAAAUACGGAUCCAGUAAAGAAAUACUUCGUUUAAAGAAGAAGAGAGGACCAAUUUCAAAAAAAAAAGAUGAUGAAAAUGAAAAAUGAAAAAGUAAUGAUGGAGAGGCUAAGGGGAAAACCCGCAAAGGGCACCUUAGGCCAAAGAGGAUUUGAGUUGAAGACCCGAAAAGGGCGGCUCAAAUAUUGAUUAGAAUGGGGGCAUGAAGCGAUCAGAGCGAUUCGAAUUUUGAUCAUAUUGGGGCAUGUGCUGAUCUUGCUAUGCCUAAAUCAAUAGGAAAGGAUAGGCGACAUCUUGGGGCAUCGACAAAACACUGUAGAUCUCUUAAACACAAGUCAAACUCAGAAUGGUCUUCAGAAAGUUUGUACAAAGAAGUUCAAGCUGCGAUAUCUGGGGCACCCAAUUCUCAUAUUAUUUGUUGUUCUUGGAAUACCUUUUUCUUUUCCAAGAUAUUACAUUCCCAAUUAAUUCCUUUGUCAUCCUUCUUUACUAUUUUCGAUAAUUUAUUCUUUCGAGCUAUGCUCAGAACCAACUUUAUCCUUAUCCAUUGUUAUGACAUUUCUUUGCAAACAUGUUGUAUUGGAAUAAUGAUUAAUGGACUAAUAAAACUUUCACAAAGGAAGUUUUGCAUAUUACUUUGAAAAUUUUCUAAAUAAUAUAGGAGCCUGAAACAGGACUAUUGUUUAGAACACACCAAAUUUAAAGGUUGGAAAUUUGGGAAGGAAUAGUCUAAAUUUAGAGUUUCUCUUUGGAUUUUUGUUGUCGAAUGCGUUGAUUGACAAGACGCCAUGUUGGUGACAAAGCUUACAUAAACAAGCAAGCAAUGAUCACCAGCCAAUAAGAAGAGGUUACCUCAGAGAAGAGAGCCUUCAUUUGCGCAUGAGUCUUUAGUACGACAUCCUGAGAAUGGUGUAAGAAACCAGAAUGAUUCAGGUCCUAUAUCCUUGAAUUGUGAUAAGAGAGGAUUGAGGAAAAGCCACCUAUUUCUACCCUUGGAUUGCAGUGGGAGAAUGGUGGUACAAAUUUUGCGCCCCAAUGGAUUAAACUUUGAGGUCUACAGUGGGGGCAACCUGGCUAAAUGUUUCUUCAGAAAAUUCAGUCAAGCAAGAAGGCGUUAUAGCACGUCAGUCACAAAGCCUUAAUAAACUUCGAGUAAUAACAACCUAAGCGGGAUCGUUCUCGGAAAAAUAAAAUUCUGCAUUCAUGCAAACACCAUUCACACAUGUCUAGUCAGGAGCAUUUGAUUCAUUUUGAUCAUGCAAUCCUAAUCAUUAGGCAUAAUUAGGUUCAUUAUACAGGUCAUGUUCCCCAGAGAACAGAUCAGUGAAGAUUGAAAACAAAGCCUUGCCUCCACCGGUUGCAGUGGAGCUGGUUAAAGAUAGCAGAUAUUGCCUUCUUGCGUUAACAACGAAGCAGAUCGAAAACAAAGCCUUGCCUCCAUCGAUUGCAGUGGAGCUGGUUAAAGAUAGCAAAUCUUGCCUUCCUGCAUUGACAGCGAAGCAGAUCGAAAACAAAGCCUUGCCUCUAUCGGUUGCAGUGGAGUUGGUUAAAGAUAGCAGAUUUUGCCUUCCUACAUUAACAGCGAAGCAGAUAAAAAACAAAGCCUUGCCUCCAUCGGUUGCAGUGGAGCUGGUUGAAGAUAGCAGAUCUUGCCUUCCUGUGUUAACAGCGAAGCAAAUCGAAAACAAAGCCUUGCCUCCAUCGGUUGCAGUGGAGCUGGUUAAAGAUAGCAAAUCUUGCCCUCCUGCGUCGACAGUGAAGCAGAUCGAAGAUUACAAGUCCUAUAUCCCUGGCCAGCAGUGGAAUAGGUUGGAAAUUGCAGAUCUUGUCUCCCUAAGCAGUAGCGGAGCAGAUUGAAGCUAGUAAUCCUAUCUCCCUGAGAUUACAGUGGAGCGGAUUAAAAUAAAGGAUCUUAUCUCUCUGAGGUUACAGUAGAGUAGAUCGCAUUAGAUUGAAACCAGAAAUCUUAUCUCCUUGAGAUUACAGCGGAGCAGAUUGAAGCUAGUAAUCCUAUCUCCCUGAGAUUACAGUGGAGCGGAUUAAAAUAGAGGAUCUUAUCUCUUUGAAGUUACAGUAGAGUAGAUCACAUCAGGUCUUAUCUCCCUGAGAUCAUGGUGGAAUAGACCGAAGAAUUACAGAUCUUAUCUCCCAAACGAUGUAGUGGAACAAAUUAAAGCCACAUCGGUGAAUCUUGCUUCCCCGACAUUGCGGUUAAAAAGAUUAAAGCUACAGUAGUGAAUCUUACCUCCCAGGCAGUACAGUGGAACAGAUUAAAGCCACAACGGUAAAUCUUGCCUCCCUGACAUUGUAGUUAAAAAGAUUAAAGCCACAAUGGCGAACUUUACUUUCCAAAGUUACGAGUUACAAAUCCUAUCUCCCUGAUAUUAUAGUGGAGUGGAUCGAAGCACCAAUUCUUGUACCUCUGAAGAUGUAGUAGGAUGGAAUGAGGUAACUCGAAGAAGAAGAGCACCAAGGUCCAGCACGACCGGGCAAAAUUGGCCCUUUUCAAUCUUUGUUUCAUUCCCGUUACACGACAAUGAGCAAAGAGGGGCAGCUGUAAGAGCCCAUUUUUCCCCGGGCCCAUACCAGCAAAACAUACCCAAAUAACAAAAAAAUAAAUAUAAAAAAACCAAAUAAAAAUAAAGUAACAGUCUAUUAUAACAAAAUUUGGCCUAAUAAACAACUCAGCCUAAUCCUAAAGCUAAUACCCUAACCCAAUUUACACGGCCCGAUACAAGUUGAAACCCUAGCCUUCAACAGUUUCCAACUUCAGCCGCCACCUUCCCUAGGCCUCACGUGCCCCACAAGCCACGCCUCCGAGCCACGUCACCCCAGCCACGCGCCUCCGUACACCGUACCUGCAAAGGGAACGAAGACAAUGCAACACACAAAAGAACAAAAAAGGAAGAAAAAAAAAGGAGAAAAAUAGCAAACAAGAAAAAGAACAGAAAAUAGGACGAUGUAUUUUUUCUUUGAUUUUUAUUUUCGGCUUUAAAAAGCCAUUAAACAGAAUUUGUAAGGGGGAACAUAUUUUACAGAUCAGAAAUAAAAAAGGAAAACAAAGGUUGCCUUCUGGUUUUCUCCGAUUUAUUCAUUUUAUUUCUUUUAUUUUUCUUUUUAUUUUUUAC